GCAAGAGCACUACUGCAUCUGCCAAGUAUUUUGUCGGAGAAGGGGUCAUUUACAAAUCUACUAAUCUUUUUUGUUAUCAUAAUAGCAUGAUCUACCUGUAAUGGAGGUGGGGUGGUCAGUUGUGGCCCACAACUUGUGUGUGGGUGUGCGUGUGUGUUCAGUAACCAUCAGUUAAUCAUAUAUCAAUAUAGCACAUCUGCAAUUCAACCUAUCCAAUUCAAAGUAGUACAUCUCUAAUUCAACAUAUUCAAUUCAAAUUAGCACAUAUCCAAAUUCCAAUUCAAUAAACCACAUAUCCAAAUCAAUUCAAACUAAAUACCUAAUAUUCAAUCACAUAUCCCAAUUCAAAC
Molecule: long non-coding RNA, 350 nt
Filed under: Malus domestica (apple)
Lineage: Eukaryota; Viridiplantae; Streptophyta; Magnoliopsida; Rosales; Rosaceae
Description: long non-coding RNA (MDOM_LNC007760)
Source: RNAcentral